AAAGCGGAGGAAAAGAAACCAACAGGGAUUGCCUUAGUAGCGGCGAGUGAAGCGGCAAAAGCUCAAAUUUGAAAUCUGGCUCUUUCAGAGUCCGAGUUGUAAUUUGAAGAAGGUAUCUUUGGGUCUGGCUCUUGUCUAUGUUUCUUGGAACAGAACGUCACAGAGGGUGAGAAUCCCGUGCGAUGAGAUGAUCCAGGCCUAUGUAAAGUUCCUUCGAAGAGUCGAGUUGUUUGGGAAUGCAGCUCUAAGUGGGUGGUAAAUUCCAUCUAAAGCUAAAUAUUGGCGAGAGACCGAUAGCGAACAAGUACAGUGAUGGAAAGAUGAAAAGAACUUUGAAAAGAGAGUGAAAAAGUACGUGAAAUUGUUGAAAGGGAAGGGCUUGAGAUCAGACUUGGUAUUUUGUAUGUUACUUCUUCGGGGGUGGCCUCUACAGUUUAUCGGGCCAGCAUCAGUUUGGGCGGUAGGAGAAUUGCGUUGGAAUGUGGCACGGCUUCGGUUGUGUGUUAUAGCCUUCGUCGAUACUGCCAGCCUAGAUCUGAGGACUGCGGUAUACCUACGCAAUGCAAUCGG
This 570-nucleotide ribosomal RNA is filed under the name Candida tropicalis. RNAcentral's name for it is "partial large subunit ribosomal RNA". It matches the Rfam family "Eukaryotic large subunit ribosomal RNA", at positions 47 to 622 of the family's 3401-position model. The record is from RNAcentral. Lineage: Eukaryota; Fungi; Ascomycota; Pichiomycetes; Serinales; Debaryomycetaceae.